RNAcentral lists this transfer RNA (87 nucleotides) under Burkholderia sp. AU16741. RNAcentral's name for it is "tRNA-Leu". It matches the Rfam family "tRNA". From Rfam's summary of the family: Transfer RNA (tRNA) molecules are approximately 80 nucleotides in length. Their secondary structure includes four short double-helical elements and three loops (D, anti-codon, and T loops). The record is from RNAcentral. Lineage: Bacteria; Pseudomonadati; Pseudomonadota; Betaproteobacteria; Burkholderiales; Burkholderiaceae.
GCCCAGGUGGCGGAAUUGGUAGACGCACUAGGUUCAGGUCCUAGCGGUGGUAACAUCGUGGAGGUUCGAGUCCUCUCCUGGGCACCA